Molecule: ribosomal RNA, 438 nt
Filed under: uncultured bacterium
Lineage: Bacteria
Description: SSU rRNA
Rfam family: Bacterial small subunit ribosomal RNA
Source: RNAcentral
GACGAACGCUGGCGGCGCGCCUAACACAUGCAAGUCGAACGGAGCUUAGAGAGCUUGCUUUUUAAGCUUAGUGGCGAACGGGGUGAGUAACGCGUGAGUAACCUGCCCUAGAGUGGGGGACAACAGUUGGAAACGACUGCUAAUACCGCAUAAGCCCACGGUACCGCAUGGUACUGAGGGAAAAGGAUUUAUUCGCUUUAGGAUGGACUCGCGUCCAAUUAGCUAGUUGGUGAGGUAACGGCCCACCAAGGCGACGAUUGGUAGCCGGACUGAGAGGUUGAACGGCCACAUUGGGACUGAGACACGGCCCAGACUCCUACGGGAGGCAGCAGUGGGGGAUAUUGCACAAUGGGGGAAACCCUGAUGCAGCGACGCCGCGUGGAGGAAGAAGGUUUUCGGAUUGUAAACUCCUGUCGUUAGGGACGAUAAUGACGGUAC